CGGAACGGGUGAGUAACGCGUGAGGAGCCUGCCUCAAAGAGGGGGACAACAGUUGGAAACGACUGCUAAUACCGCAUAAGCCCACGGGUCGGCAUCGAUCUGAGGGAAAAGGAGUGAUCCGCUUUGAGAUGGCCUCGCGUCCGAUUAGCUAGUUGGUGAGGUAACGGCCCACCAAGGCGACGAUCGGUAGCCGGACUGAGAGGUUGAACGGCCACAUUGGGACUGAGACACGGCCCAG
Molecule: ribosomal RNA, 238 nt
Filed under: uncultured bacterium
Lineage: Bacteria
Description: partial 16S ribosomal RNA
Rfam family: Bacterial small subunit ribosomal RNA
Source: RNAcentral